RNAcentral lists this long non-coding RNA (623 nucleotides) under Homo sapiens (human). RNAcentral describes it as "non-protein coding lnc-DOLK-1:1". Lineage: Eukaryota; Metazoa; Chordata; Mammalia; Primates; Hominidae. The record is from RNAcentral.
UGCAAAGCGAGGCUGAAGAAGGCCAAGGCUGCAGAAGCCAAAGCCACGACGGUGCCUGACUUUCAGGAGACUAGACCUCGUAAUUACAUUCUCUCGGCCAGCGCCUCCGCGGUAAGCGCACCCCACCCCCACCCCACCCCUCGUCCUCCUCUCUCCCCACGUCCCACACCACUGCCUCUGACUGCACAGGAGCUAGAAGCCAGCUUGGGUAAGGCGGGGGCACUGCCAUGUGAUCAGGUCAGUCCUGAGACACUGGGGAGGGGCAGCAGCCCCCACCUCUGUCCACGGCCUGGCCCCGGUGCCCUGUGGCCAUGGAGCUGGACUUGUUUCCCUCUGCAAAACGCUGGAGCUGGCGGCAGGGCCAGCCACACUGAGUAGUGUGGAGAACUCAGGGCGGCAGCUGUCCCAUCCCCAGGGCCCCUCCACCUCCUGCUGUCUCUGAAUGCCAGGCCCUGGGGAGGCCCUGAGGAUAGAGGAGGAGGCCUGGCCGUGCCUUUCUGGAGUUCACAGACCCCUAAAGACAGGAGGCAGGGAUGGCGUCGUAGGCCUGGAGAGCGCCUGGGGGGCGGGAGGGCCUGAGGCUGUGCUUAAGGCCCAGAGGUCCUGGAGCAGGGCAUGUCUUG